AAGAUGGAUACAUCAAAAUAAGUCCAUCAAAAUACUCACAUAAGGAAAAUUGAAUUCAACCGAUAAUAUACCAAAGUGGGGACCACCGGAAUUUAGGGGAUCUGAAAAUCUCAUCCACGAGAGACAAAAAAGGAAACUAAUUCAUUCCUAAUAGAUUCGGAAUAUACACCAGAUCUAAGGAAAAUCUUUUCUAACAAAUGACGGUUUUUCCAGCACACCAUUGGAAGACGAUUUGGGAGACCUCAACUCACUUUAUAUAAGGUGCACUCAAUGACUGAAGAACAGGGGGGAAAGCAUCGUUACCCUACGUAGAAAAGCAAGAAAAGCUCAUAACACCAAGCAAGCAUACACCUCGAUCGUAACGAGUCAAGGGAGGACGUGAUCGCAACCCUGCAGAGAUCCCGCCAUAAAAUCGCAUUAAAGCUCAAAGAAAGAGCUAAACCUUGUUAUUCUAAACAACCAUACAUAUAGAAGAACGAGAGGAGAAGUCGAGGAUUCGAAGCGAAAAAAUAAAAGUCAUAAUCCUUUACCUGAGGUAUAGUUUCGGCCACCGGAAUCUCGCCAGAGUUGUGAAGCUCCGGUGAGAUCUAUUCCUUUCAUGUUAAUCUUAUCACCAUCGUAGCCUCCAUUUUUCUCUUAGGUUUUAGGAUUUAAGAUUAAUUGUGGUUGAUUGUUAUUGUUGUACACAUGAGUAAUAGCUUACUUUCAUGUUUGACUUUUGAAUGGACUUUGAAAUCCGAUUCAAAUUCUGAGAGUUUAUGAGCAUGGUUUGGAUUCGUUUUGGUCGUUGAUGUUGGGAUUUUCUGAAUGUUAUGCGGCUAGGGUUGAGAGAUUUGUUUUGGAUCAAAGGCUUUAUGUUCUCUUUUAAAAGGAUGUCUGGGUUUGGAGGUGAUGAACAUCAUCUGAUGUUCAUCAAGAUACCGCGUCGGUGGCUGUGUAGAUUUUUCUUAUUUUGUUUUCUUAUGCCGAUAUAUUGGGUUUUAAGAGAGGGAGAGAAGAUGCAUAAGAGAAGGAAGUUAAUUGAUUGUUGUUAAUUAGAGUUAAUUACUGUUUACGUAUUAGCUAAUGCGCUGACGGCUGAUGAGUAUUCCAAAGGCCGAACGUCUUCUCACUCAACAACCAGGCGGCUACGUGGAGAAUGUUGAAGGCUUGCAAAGCCACACACGUGGGGCAGCUGUACAUCCUCCCCUUCGGAUUCCAUCCCUUUCCUUUAUUAUUUCCUUUUUGGGCAAGGAUUUAGGGAAAGCUGAGUUUAAGGCCCAUUUCGCCAGCUGAUACAGCCAUGGGCCUCAGGGCCCGUUCAUAAUCCCUUAUAAUUCAUUUUUGGGACCUCUCUCCAUUAUUUUACUGCCCAUACCCCUAUCUUGAUCUAUUUCUUUAUAUAUUUAUUUCUUAUUUUGAUUUUUUACUAUUUAUCUAAUAAACAUGAUGACAUUAGUAGUAAUAUAUAUUAUUAUUUUAACUUUAAUUAUUUAUUUUAUCUUUCUUUUGAAUUUAUAAUUUUGUCUUCAUAUUAGAGUAUGUUCAAGUGAAUGUUUAAUUAGAUGUAAAUGAAUACGAUAGUUAUUUUCUCCCUAAUCAAAACGAAUCGAUGAUCAAACACCGAGCAACCGUCCUCAAAUCCUAUCAAUUCUAUAAUUCAAAACUUCUUUAUUUCAUCUACACAUUUUUUUUGUGAUUCAAACUUUGGACAAAAAAGAGUAUAAUAAGUGCACGCUUCAUUAUCUCUCGAGUAUUCAAACAAUUGGUGUUCUCCAUAUUGCUCGAAUUCUCGUCGUCUAGUUAAGACCUUAAUCGUAUAAGAUUAGCAUCAUUCCUAAACCAAAACCCAUUCCAUCUCACUCAUAAGCGAAUAUCUUGGUUCAAUGCCGAAUAUUUCUAAUUAACCACGCAAAUUCAAAUCAUUUUUCGAAUAAAUAUGACCUCUAAAGAAUUUUCUUUUAAAAUAGGAGUGAAAAGGAGAACAGGAAGCACCUGCUUCACUAUCUCUCGAGUAUUCGAACGAUUGGCGUACGCCAUAUUGCUCGAAUCCUUGUCACCCGAUUAAAACUUUAAUUGUACAAAUUCAAACUAUUCAAAUAAUUUAAUAGAAUAAUUAACAGCAAAGGAUACAAGGAGACGAAUAGAUUCUAACCUAGCGACUGGAGCAAAGGUUUCAUUGUAACCAAUUCCUUCUUGUUGACUAUAACCUUGUGCCACUAGCCGUGUUUUGUUCCUGACGACUUCACCCUUUUCAUUUAUCUUGUUUCUAAAAACCCAUUUAAUUCCAAUCACAUGGGUUCCCUUAGGUCUUGGUACAAGAUCCCAAAUGUCAUUUUUGGAAAACUAACCAAGUUCUUCUUUCAUUGCCAUAAUCCAUUCUUUAUCUUGAAGACCUUCUUCACAGGAUGUUGGCUCUAUCAGAUAUACUAGUCCCAGAAGUGUUUCUUCGGAAACUUUGACUGUUGAUCUUAUUUUGACAGGUUCCUCCUUGUUUCCUAGAAUUAGUUCUUCAGAAACAUUCGACAUAUUUCUUUCUCUUUUCUGAUUGAUUAUGCGUUCAGGUGCUUCUGAAGUUCCUCUUUCUACUUCUUCAGAGCCAUUUGUCUUUUCGUCAUAGCCUGCAAGUGUGAUCUCCAGAUCUGCAAAUUUCUCAACUAGCUUUGACUUUUCAGAGUCAAGCUUAUCAUCAAAUCUGACACGAAUUGAUUCCUCCACAAUUUGUGUUUCUGUAUUAUAUACUCGAUAUGCUUUAGAAAGUUAUGAGUAUCCCAACAUAAUACACUUUUGUGCCUUAGAGUCAAACUUGUUCAAAUUAUCUUUAGUGUUCAAAAUAAAACAAGAGCAUCCAAAAGGAUGAAAAUAAGAAAUGUUGGGUUUUCUUCCUUUGCACAAUUCAUAAGGAGUCUUCUCCAGAAUAGGUCUGAUAGAGAUUCGAUUUUGAAUGUAACAUGUUGUAUUCACAGCUUCUGCCCAAAAGUGCUUAGCCAUAUUAGUGUCAUUGAUCAUGGUUCUGGCCAUUUCUUGGAGAGUCUUACUCUUCCUUUUUAUAACUCCAUUUUUUUGUGGAGUUCUAGGACAGGAGAAAUCAUGGGAUAUUCCAUUAGAGUUAAAAAGUUCUUCAAAAAAUCUGUUUUCAAAUUCGCCACCAUGAUCACUUCUAACUCUGAUAAUCUUAGAGUCAUAUUCAUUUUGCACUUUUGAAUAGAAGCUGGUGAACACAGAUUGUGACUCAUUCUUGUGCCUUAAGAAUUUUACUCAUGUCGAACGACUGUAGUCAUCAACAAUGACAAGUCCAUACUUCUUACAUUUACUGACGUUUUCUUAACAGGUCCUGUAAGACCCUAAUUUUGACCCUAAGAUCCCUCAUGGCAUCAUAUCAUUGCUCAUUGCAUUACCUCAAGGAUCAUAACUUGUGUGGCUCAUUUACCCUAAGGGUGGGACUUGUGUGAGUGUUUUGAGACCACCAAGCAUGCUUGUAUUUUAUAUUAUUGCUUUUCUUCUUUGUUUACUAACCAAAAGCACAAAAAUAUGUCACUAACUCUUUUUGUUUUGAAGCUCAAGUGAUCAUGUGCUCCAAUGCUCCUAGGAGGCUCUUAAGCUCAAUGAAAUGGCUAGAUAAAGAUGAGAAAAAAGCAUGAAAAUGGUCCACAAAGUUCCUAAUCAUCAUAUAUGUCUCCCAAGUAUCUCAAUUUUACAACUUGAUCAAGAUAACCCAAAGGGCUUGAGGAUUGUUUCCCAAGGAAACCCUAAUUCAAUUGUGCAUUGACUGUGCCUUGCUCAUGAAGCAACCUCAACCUAUGGUCAAAUAAAAUCAAGGGAAGUUCUUUCAUUCAUUAUUUUAUGCAUAUAUUAGCCUAUGUGAGGUUCCUCAAUCAUUCAUUCAUCAAGAUUUGAAGUUUGGCCUUGAGAAGUUGACCAGUCAAGUCAUCUGACUAAACUGAGGAUCUCUGAGACGUAACUUUUGAUGUGUUAUUCAAAUGAAUAUGACCCCAAGAGAAAAAAUGUUCUUAAGAACCAUAUGAACAACUUUCAUGUUCAUUCAAAAUCCAUUUGAUACUUUUAAGAUCAUCAUUCAUUUCAAAACAUUAUAGGUCAUUUUGACUGAAACCCUAAUUUUGGGUCAACUUCCCAAGGAUCUAACUUCCUUAUUUUUUAUGAUUUUUAGGUGAGACCAAAUGCAUUGGAAAGUUUAAGAUGUAUAAUUCAAUUUUUAUGUUGUACAAAAUUUCAUAAUAUUAAAAGAAACACAUGUGAUAAUACAAAACAUUAUAGGUCACUUUGGACCUAAGUCAUUGAAUUUGAAAAAUGCCCAACUUUAAGUGCCCAUAACUUUCUCAUGAAAACUAUAAAUGAUGCAAACUUUAAGUCUAAAUUGAUCAUAUUGAAAAUAUCUACAACUUUGAUGUUUGAGGUUUUUCCAUUUGAGGCUUGCAUCAUUGAAACAUAAGGGCUUGAAAGUGCUUGCUUGUGGUGUAAUUUUUCAAAGGGAACCUAGACAUGUUUUGUACCCCAAACUUCACAGACAGUUUUCAUAAAUUUCCAAACUCCAAAUGGAUUUUUGGCCAACAUGACUUUUUUUCCUUAUUUCCAGGGCUUUCCAACCAUUACUCACAUUAAUUUUUUUGGACUUUCCAUGAGUGAGUUUCGAAGAGCUUAAUGUUUAUGUGCAUUUUUGCAUUUCACUUUAUAACUUCAUGUGCAAGCAAAUGCCAGGCCUUAUGCACGUCCAAUUCACUUAUACUUGAUCUCAUCAUGGAUUUCCACUCACUUUUGGGCCUCACAUGCGCCUGUACAGGCUUAUGCAUGGAGGAUCCAAUUUUCUUGCACACGAGGGAAAGCAUUGCAUUGCAUCGGUUUCAGCUAUAAAUAGAAGCUCAUGCUCAUUCAAAAAUAAACCUAAAGGAUAUCUGGAACGCUGCUGGAUUGAAAACCAAACCCUCACCUAAAGGAAUUUCAGUUUUCAUUUUCAAUUUCAAGCUUGAAUUUCAACAUCAUUAGUUGAUCUUCAAGUCUUAAUUCCUUAACCUUGCAUCACCAUUACACUUCUAGAUCAAAAUUGGAUCAAGAGCUUGGACAAUUCGUGCUGUUUGAAGCUCCAUUUCAGAGGUAUAUCACCAAACUUUUUUUAUUCAGAUCUUGAAAUAUAAUGUGAAUUCCUUUGGUUUGUGCUGUUUUCUGAAGUCCUCGUGCAUGAGGCAGGUCAGUGGUGGUCUCAAUUUUGCAAAUCGUGCCAUUUCAGAUCAAGCACCAUGAUCUUCAAGCUCAUGUUUCUCUCUAAAUAGAAACUUUUAGGAGAAUCCAUGGUUACAGGGGUGAUGUACAUCACCUCGGCUUCAUUUUGAUACCUUGCUUUUUCAUUUUCAUUGAGGUUUGAAUUGCUGCGCGUGGUGGCCGGAAUUGGUUGUCUGGUCGGAGAAGAUGGUGGUGUCCACCACCAUCCCCACGUGGGAGCCUCAGAGGCCUUGGAUCUCAUCAAAACGUUUUAAUCGUGGCCUUGAAUUAUAUUGACUUGUUUUAAUUCAAUGUGUGAUGCGCUUGACUCACGUAUACCAUAUGAUCGCGCCUUUGAGCCCUCAGAUCAAUACCACGUCAAUUAAUGAAAAGAUCCAAUGGCAGCGCAUUUUUGCUAUUUUCUUAUUUUCUAAUUAAUUCCAUUUAAUUCCUUUUAUUUUCAAAAAUUCAUAAAUAUUUCAUUUGAAGUCACAAAAAUAUGAGACCAAUGCCAAAAAAAUUCUUGAAAAAUCUAGUUUCAUAUUUGGUUUUUAAUAGUUUUAAUUCAUUUUAAAAUACUUUUUGAUAUUUGAAAAAUCCAAAAAUAUUUUCUUAACACAUAUGGAUCAUGAUAAGUGUUACUUUUUAUCAGAGUAGUUAAAGAAUUAUGAUUUGAGAUUUAAUUGAGAUUUUAAUUCAUAUUGUGUUAUUUUUAUUGUUUUUAAUUGUUUUAAAAUAGUUUCUGAUUUCAAAAAUUGUUGAAAAAGUUUGUCAAAGCUUGUUUGACCAUGUUAGACCUAUGAGAAUUUAAUUGGACUUGUUGAAGUUGAUUUGAAUUGAAUUUCAGGUUUGACCAUAUUUUGUCCAUUUUAUUUUGCAUUUAUUUUUAAUUCAAAAAAUACCAAAAAAUAUGUUUGACUUGUUGACUUCUAAUCUUCAUUUCUCUUCUGUUUAGCAUUGGUUAAUGAUGAUUUGAUUCACUUUUGACCAAUUGUGUUUGACACUUUAUUUCUCUUUCCAUUUCAUUUCAUCUUCAUCUUAUUUCUUUUUAUUUUGGCCAAUGAGUUAAUGUCAUAUAAACUCAACUUGAUCCAAGAUCAAGUGAGUUGCUUUGAGUCCAAGAUAGGUUGCUUCUUGGUCAAGCAAAAAACCUAAAGUCCAUACAAGGCCUUUCCUCUUUUCUUUUGGCAUGGCAAGUUUUUGGAGCUUGACUUACUAGUCAUGAUCUUUAACUUGAGUUUAUUUUCCUAUAGUUUUAUUGACCAACCUCAGAUAGAGGUGACUACUACAUUAGUCCACUUACGAUUCUUAACAUAGCGCUAAAUUGUCUCAUGACAAACUAACAUAACCACUAAUUACUAACUUUAAUUUGAGUAUUUAAUUUCUUGCAAUUUACUUUAAUGAAAUUUACUUCUUGCUCAUUUAUUCAUAUUGCUUUUUAGUUUGCUCACUUGAGCAUAUAUUUUAUGUUUAUGUCAUUUUCCUUUUGCUCAUUUGAGCUCAUUAUUGUAUAUAAACAUAUUGUUGCCUUGUGUUGGUUUUGCUUUUGUUUUGUGUGAACCCAAUGCAAAAGGAGAAAGGACUUAGAAUUAGGAUAUACCUAUGCUUAAAGGAGUUCAAGAGCAACUAGGCCUCAUGCCUUUAGAAUGCUAAACCUGUUGAAGAGCAACUAGGCCCCAUGCCUUUAGAAUGCUAAACCUGUUGAAGAGCAACUAGGCCUCAUGCCUUUAGAAUGCUAAAUUUAAAAGUUGACUUCAAAGGACUUCCUUUCCAAAACUCAUUCUUUGUCCAUUCCUCUUAUUGUGUUAUGAACUUUUUGAUAUUUGUUCUUGUGUGAUAGGGAUUCCAUCUUGAGAUAGUAAGAAUGACCAUUCUCAUGAGUAGCCAAGUUAAGAGAGACAAGCCAAAUGGAGAUCCUAGGAGCUUGAACUUUUAAUUGUGUGAUUGCUUGUUGUUUGCUAAGUCCAAAGGAAAGGAGCAUCUUGAAUCAUCUCUAUGAUCUCAAGAAAGAGAACUCCAAGGGUUUUAUCUUCUCUCCUAUCUUUGUAUGCUUUAGGACUAGCCCUUCUCUUCUUCUCUCCACUCUAACCCAAGCCAAACUCUUUUUGUGUAAACUUUGACAUUGUUUUCAAACUAGAAACCCAGGCCUUAUGCCUUUGACUUUUCAAAAUCUUUUCAUUAAUACUCAUUAUGAAUAGAUCUUAAUUCAACUUUGACCUCAUUUUGUACAUAAACCUAACUUGUAAAUACAACUCACUUCAAGUUGAUUUUAUGGUUCCAAUGGCCACCUUUGAUAAAACCUUUUUUUCAUAAACAUUAGCCAUAAGUUUGAGUUAUCAUAGUGGUUGAUGUAAACCUCACCUUAUCCUUAGUGAUUGGAUUAUAAGUCUUCCAUACUUAUUAUAGGGUUAACCCCCCCUCCUGAGUAUGUUGAAGCCCUCCUCACAUGGUGGAUUGUUGGUUUAGGUUGAGUUUUCUCCCUUGAUACAAAAAGACCUUAAGGCUUUUGAUCAAAUCAAUUCACCAAUCUUUGAGAUUUUUACCCUGAACUACGAGGUUUUGAUCCUACCUUUGUGAUGGUACGUAGGCAAUGGUUCAUCCAUUCAAACAACAAAUUUGUAAAUAUAAUAUAUUCUCUUCUCAUCCCUCCAAUCUUUUGCACAUAUUUUCACAAAUACCAACCUACAACACACAUUUGCAAAAAGAGGUUCCCUUAGAGUACUAAGGAUGUUUUGGGUGCGUAAAACCUUCCCAUUUCAUAACCAACCCCCUUACCCCGAUCUCUGACAUUUUUUUAGUUUUUUAUUUGAUAAAAAUUCUUACUUGGCUUUUGUUCGCUUUUUAACCUUUCCUUUGGACAAAUAAAAGUGCGGUGGCGACUCGAAUUAUAUGUUUACUUUUGGUUUAGUCAAUAAGCCAUAAGGUAACGAAUACCCCGCUACAGAAAAUUGGCGACUCUGCUGGGGAAUCAUUUCCUAGUGGGUUUAGCCUAAUUUUUGCUUAUGUGUGUUGUGUGUUUAUAUUUAUUUGGAACAUAUUUUUGUGCAAAUUUGGGAUGAAUGUAUUGUUUGUAAUGUAUGAAUUGCUUGAUAUAUCAAUUGCUUGUAUGCUUGGUGGUUUCUUGUGAGAUGAGUUAUAUACCCGAACUCGAGUGCACUUAUGAUAGGAGAAUGGCAUAGUCUUGUUGACUUGGGUGGAGUUAUUCCUUAGCAAGUUGACUUGCAAGCCCAUUCACUUGGUGGAGGUCUUGUUGGGAUCAAUAAUGUCACACGAGUAGUCGUGGUUAGGCAUUACUCUUUCCAAUUUAAACCUUAGAAGCCAAGGACCUUAGAUACCUAGCCCAUCUUGGCCUAUUUUAGGACGUAGUACGAAAUUCAUUCAAGUGUAAGAUUUGAUACGAUUGUUACGCGAUACUACACUCAUAAGAGUCUCUCUUGAGAAUAUUUUUAGAAUACGAGUAGUCGUUUUAUCCGAUAAUAUCUGAAAGAUGAGAUGAUGACUAUGGGGACCUUUUUAGAACAUGAUUGCCGGGUUUAACCAUAAUACACUCCCAUAGGGUAGUUCUUAACCGAGACUCCAUGCUCGUGACUUACAACAAUCCCUUGAUUCGCGGUUGAUCUGUUCUUGUAUAUCCUCAAUAUCAAUGGAACUUGGGUGUUGAUAAGGUGUAAACCAUAAUCCACCAAAAUGGAUGAUUGAUAUUGACGAUGACUUGAGCCAUCCCGUGACCUUUGUAUGGUGUGACUUGCUUUGAUCCUUGAGUGUUGAUUGUUUCAUCCAUGCAUUCAUGCAUUCAUUCGCAUCCAUAUCAUCAACAAUGAGAAUUUCAAGGAACUUAAGAGGUCUAUUUGCAAAUUUCAGACAUGGAUUAAGCAAAGAAGGAAUACGAAGAAGUACAGUUUCAGACAACCCGACUUGAAAGAGUUAAGGAGUUUGACAUCUUAUGUAUUAGAGCCUUUGGAGUUCAAAGCUCGCCAUGGGAAGCUUCUAUCUAUUCUUUCUACCAAGGUGGAUGAGGGUCUGAUGAGUGUGUUGGUACAUUUCUAUGAUCCUCUGUAUCGUUGCUUCACUUUUCCGGAUUUCCAGCUUUUUCCUACACUUGAGGAGUAUUCCUAUCAUGUGGGUAUACCUAUCCUGGAUCAGUUGUCGUUCAGUGGUUUGGAGAGGGUUCCUUCUUCUCAAGAGAUUACUGACAUGCUUCAUAUAGAUGUAUCUGACAUUGUUGCUCAUAUGACUACCAAAGGUGGAAUUCAAGGUCUCCCAUCUGAUUUUCUCAUCGCCCAGGCUACUUUGUUUGGGAAGGCCAUGAGUGAGGACGCCUUUGAAGCCAUAUUCAUGCUACUCAUCUAUGGACUAGUGUUAUUUCCCAACAUCGGCAAUUUUGUGGAUGUGAACGCUAUUAGGAUUUUCUCUUCUCUCAAUCCCGUUCUGACUCUGUUGGGUGACACUUAUUUAUCUUUGCAUAUGAGGAAUGCAAAGGGUGGUGGUGCCAUUGUGUGAUGUUUGCCUCUGCUGUACAAGUUGUUUAUUUCGCACUUGCCUCAGACGCUCGCCUUACAGGAGAACAAGGGAUGUCUACGGUGGCCUGCGAGACUUAUGUCUCUCACCAAUGAUGAUAUAUAUUGGUAUAAUCGUGUUUAUGAUGGCAUUCAGAUUAUUGACUCUUGUGGUGAAUUCUCCAAUGUGCCUCUUCUUGGUACAUGUGGUGGAAUUAAUUACAACCCUGUUUUGGCUCGUCGUCAGCUUGGGUUCCCCUUAAAGGAUGAACCUAAUAACAUUUUGUUGGAAGGUGUGUUCUUUCAAGAGGGUAAAGAUCCCCAGAACUUGAAGGAUAGGAUGGUUCACGCCUGGCGCAAAGUUCAUAGGAAGGGAAGGAAGGAGCUUGGUCCGAACAAUUGUAUUGCUUUGGAACCCUACACCUCUUGGGUGAGGAAGAGAGCUCUCGGGUACCGCAUGCCGUAUGAUUAUCCAAGACCUACCCCUAUGGUUAUGGUUGGGCCCUCAACCCUCUCUAGCCAAGGAGUAGAGGAGUUAAGAGAUGAAGACCGAUCGCGUGCAUGGGUUCGUGAGUGAGAGGAACUUCUUCAGCAGCUUAGAGAUAAGGAUGCAGUGAUAGAAUUUCUAGAGAAUCGGGUUAUUGAUGAGCCUGAUGAUGUGGUUACUUCUCUUCUUCCUUAGUCAUCCAGGUUUUGGAAGAGGAAGUAUGAUCGGCUCACCAAGGAGAAGGCCGACAUGGAAGCAGCUUAUGAGAGAGAGGUGAAGAGGCUUCGUGCAGCUUAUCUUCCGAUCUUGAGAGCUUUGGAUGAUUGUUUCUAGGGCUCCAUAGGAUGUUUACUCUCCUUUUCUCUUGUAUUGUAUUUGGUUACCAAAACUGUACUACUUCAUUGGUGUAAAAAAUUUCCCAAAUAUUAUUGCUAUGAGUACUCUAUAUAUGUCUUAAAAGAUCAAUAUUUUCAAAUAUUUGCAAAUAGAUCUCUAUAAAUUUCCUCUGAUAUAAAACAAAUCAUAUGCACAAACAUUGCAUGCAUCAUAUGCAUAAGCAGGUUUUGUUCUGAGCUCUUGAUCAGUGGUCUAACUCUUUGCUCUUCAUUUAUUUUGAAGACAAGCUGACGCACCUGUAUAAUACCAGAGCCAAUCAUCCAAGGAUAAUGGAGCAUUUAGAGCAAGAGAACCGGGAUUUUAAAGAAGAGAUCGCGAGGUUGACUGCCAUGAUGGAGUCAGUUCUGGCCACCCAGAGCCAAGCUUCGCCAACUCCUGCAACUCCUCACUAGAGGACUGUCAUUUCUGAGGUUGCUACCUCGACUGUGUCUGCUGCAACAGCCCAUUUUGCUCCGUUUAUACCAGUCGGGUUCCCUUGGGGAAUGCCCGCUAAUUUUGUGCCAUAGGGCUUCGCUCCUACUCUUUCUUCUCUGCCGGCAUCUAGCCCGAUCCUUUCUGUGCCACCUCCCAUUGUGCACACCUUACCCCAAGUUGAAGACACCAUCUAUCAUUCCGAGCCGUCUGAAGGCCCGGAUGUUUAUGAAAAGAUGGACGAGAUAAAAGACAAAUUCCUUGAGCUGCAUAAGGAACUGAAGACUCUGAGAGGUAAGGACCUCUUUGGUAAGAGUGCUAUUGAGUUAUGCCUCAUUCCCAAUGUGAAGAUCCCUGUUAAAUUCAAAGUGCCUGACUUUGAGAAGUAUAAGGGAAACACAUGCCCGCUCAGCCAUCUUGUGAUGUAUCCUCGCAAGAUGUCAACAUAAACAGAUAAUGACCAACUUCUUAUCCACUACUUCCAGGAUAACUUAUCACGUGAUGCGCUCCGGUGGUACAUGGGUUUGGAGAGUGCGGACAUCCGCUCCUUCAACGAUCUUGGAGAGGCAUUUGUAAAACAAUACAAAUAUAAUGUGGAUAUGGCUUCGGACAGGGACCAACUGAGGGCGAUAUCGCAGAAGGACAAGGAGACCUCCAAGGAAUACGCCCAGAGAUGGCGCGAAUUGGCAGCUCAGAUAGUGCCACCCCUAGAAGAGAAGGAGAUGACAAAGAUAUUUUUGAAGACUUUGAGCUCUUACUACUAUGAAAGAAUGAUUGCCAGUGCUCCCUCAGACUUCACCGAAAUGGUGAAUAUGGGGAUGAGAUUGGAGGAAUGGGUCCGUGAAGGACGGUUAUCCAGAGAAGACAGCUCUUCAGCAAAGAGGUAUGGGGGCUUUGCUAAGAAGAAAGAGGGAGAGACACAUGAUGUAUCCUCUCACAUUAAAAGAAGACCCUCUAUGAAGAGGAAGAAUGUGCGUCCUGCUAUUAACCAACACUAGGUGGCUCAUAUAGCACCUGCUUUUAGAGAAGUUCAUCAACAACAACAUCGUCAACAACAAUAGGCCUACCAGCCUCGAAACAAUAAUAACACUAGCACCAGCAACUACGAGAGGAAGAGGGUAACUUUUGACCCGAUUCCGAUGACAUAUGCUGAACUUUAUCCUUCUUUGAUCGAUAGAAAACUGAUAACUCCACGAGACCCUCCUGCUGUACUGACCAACCCUCAGUGGUGGUAUAAGCCAGAGCUUCACUGUGUAUAUCAUUCUGGUGCUCCCGGACAUGACAUGGAGAACUGUUAUCCAUUGAAGACCAAGGUGCAAGACCUUGUGAGAAGUGGAAUAUUUUUUUUCGAGGACGUAGGUCCUAAUGUUAACAAGAACCCAUUGCCCGAGCAUGGGAAAGUAGCUGUUAACAUGGUCCAGGGAUGCCCUGGCAAAUAUAAAGUCAUGUAUGUUAAUGACAUAAGGCAAUCUUUGGUCGAGAUGCACAAGUUGUUGUAUGAACACAUCCAUUACGAGCAUGACCAUGAUAGGUGCCAGGUGUGCAUUAUCAAAGAGAGAGGAUGCCGAAAAGUUAGAAUGGACAUCCAAGAGAUGAUUGAUCAAGGGAUGAUCGAGAUACUUCAGAAUCGUAAUGAGGACGAAGUUGAUGUUAUCUCCCCGGUAUUCAGAAUUCCUGAGCCUGUUGUCGUCAAAUAUGAUGGCAGCAAAAAGAAGGUAUCUCCAGCUCUUGUGAUCAAGCCAGCGGGUCCGGUCCCGUAUGUAUCAGACAAGGAUGUUCCCUAUAGAUACAAUGUUGUGAUGUUAGAAGAUGGAAAGGUGGUGUCGUUGCCCUCAACCUCUCUUGUGAGCAUCUCAAACGUCAGUGGUGUGACCCGUAUUGGUCGUGUUUUCUCGGUGCAGCCGAAAUCCCAUGAAGAUGUCAUGAAGAGAACAAUUGAUAAUUUUGUCGGUCCCGUGGGGACUUCUUCUUCGAACAAUUUUGUUCUUGCUGUGAAGGAUGUUGACCCUGUUGUUGUGAAGAAUAAUAGUACUCAUGUCUUGGUUGGCCAGUCUGGCAUUUUGAAAGAGGACGAUGAUGAGAUGCAGAGGCUCAUCAAAGGAGUAAAUACAAUGUUGUUGAUCAGCUGUUACAAACUCCAUCAAAGAUAUCUGUUUUAUCUUUGUUGAUGAAUUCUGAGCCGCACCACGAAGCUUUGCAGAGGGUUUUGGACAUGGCAUACGUGGACCAUGAUGUCACAAUAGAACAGUUUGAUAGCAUUGUUGCAAACAUAACCGCUUGCAACAACUUGAGCUUUUGUGAUGUUGAUCUUCCCGAGGAGGGAAAAGACCACAAUUUGGCCUUACGCAUAUCAAUGAAAUGUAAGGAUGAUGCCUUUUCCAAUGUGUUGGUGGACACAGGAUCAUCACUUAAUGUGUUGCCAAAAUCCACUCUCGCUAAACUUUCUUACCAGGGGCCUCCCAUGAGGCAAAGUGGAGUGGUUGUGAAGGUGUUUGAUGGAUCGCGCAAAACUGUGAUCGGUGAUUUAGAACUCCCGAUCAAGAUUGGACCUAGUGAUUUCCAGAUCACUUUUCAGGUCAUGGAUAUUCAUCCAUCUUACAGCUGUUUUCUUGGCAGACCAUGGAUUCACGAGGCAGGCGCCGUGACAUCCACCCUACACCAAAAGUUGAAAUUCGUUAAGAAUAAGAAGUUGGUGGUGAUAGGGGGAGAGAAGGCUCUCUUGGUCAGUCAUUUAUCUUCCUUCUCCUAUAUUGAUGCUGAGGAUGAGGUUGGAACUCCGUUCCAAGCCUUAUCUAUUAUUGAGCCUUCAAGGAAAGGACUUUCUUCAUUUGUCUCCUACAACGAUGCAAAGUUGGCCAUUGAGCAUGGUGCAACUACUGGUUUAGGGAAAAUGAUAAGGUUGGAAGAUAACAAAUCCCGAACUGGCAUAGGGUAUUCUUCAGGUGUUUCCAAUGAGCAUGGGCUAUUCUAGAGUGGAGGUGUCAUCCACACGGUUGAAGAUCAGGAAGCUGUUGCCAUUGUGGAAGAUGAUGAAGAGGAAGACCUUGGCAACUUUGUCAUACCUGGUGGAAUCUGCAAUAAUUGGGUCGCUGUUGAUGUUCCAACAGUUAUCCAUAAGUCAACGUAAUGUGUUCAUUUUGUUUGAAAACUCUUCUCCCAUGCCAAAAGGAGAAGUGAAGGCAUUAUUGGCAUAUUUGAUUAAUACAAUGAUAUUCAUUCAAUAAUCACAUGUUAAAUGUUUGUUUUCCAAAAUUAUUUUUCCCUUUUGCUUUUUGCUUGAAAUUGGUGAUCUCCAUAAAACCCUAAAAAGAGAAUAAAAUCAACUUUUCAUCUGCAUAAUAAUUUGCCUUGUUUGAAUUCUGAAAUCUCUUUUAUACUCAAAAUCAUUAUGCAGGUUGAUCAAACCCAUUGAACAUAAUGAUCCAGCACCAUCUCCCAACUUUGAGUUCCCUGUAUUUGAGACAGAAGAAGAUGAGGUUGAAGAGAUUCCUGAUGAUAUUACCCGUUUGCUUGAGCACGAGGAGAAGAUCAUUCAGCUGCAUCUUGAGAAUCUGGAAAUAGUCAACUUGGGGUCUGAAGACUGCAUCCGUGAAGUGAAGAUUGGGGCGCUCCUUGAAGAGUCUGUUAAGAAGGGGUUGAUUGAGUUGCUACGAGAAUAUGUCGACGUCUUUUCCUGGUCGUAUGAAGACAUGCCUGGUCUGGAUACUGAUAUUGUGCAACAUUUCUUGCCAUUGAAGCUUGAAUGUGUGCCGGUGAAGCAAAAGCUCAGAAGAACUCAUCCUGAUAUGGCAGUGAAGAUUAAAGAAGAAGUUCAUAAGCAAAUUGAUGCGGGGUUUCUGGUGACUUCUACAUAUCCUCAAUGGGUGGCCAACAUUGUGCUCGUGCCUAAGAAAGAUGGAAAAAUCCGAAUGUGUGUGGAUUACCGUGACUUGAAUAAAGCUAGUCCGAAAGAUGAUUUUCCUCUACCACACAUUGAUAUGUUGGUAGACAAUACGGCUAAAUUCAAUGUCUUCUCACUUAUGGACGAAUUUUCCGGUUAUAACCAGAUUAAAAUGGCACUCGAGGAUAUGGAUAAGACAAUAUUCAUCACACCUUGGGGAACAUUCUGUUAUUGAGUGAUGCCCUUCGGUUUGAAGAACGCCGGAGCCACGUAUCAACGUGCUAUGACUACCUUGUUUCAUGACAUGAUGCACAAAGAGAUCGAGGUGUAUGUCGAUGAUAUGAUUGCAAAGUCGAAAACGGAGGUUGAACAUGUAGAACACUUGUUGAAGCUUUUCCAGCAUUUGAGGAAGUAAAAACUCUGCCUGAAUCCAAACAAGUGUACAUUUGGAGUUCGUUCGGGCAAGUUAUUGGGCUUUAUUGUCAGUGAAAGAGGUAUUGAAGUUGAUCCUGCCAAGGUCAAAGCAAUACAAGAGAUGCCUGCGCCCAAAACUGAGAAGCAAGUCUGAGGUUUUCUUGGUCGCUUGAAUUACAUUUCAAGGUUUAUAUCCCACAUGACUUCCACAUGUGUGCCUAUAUUCAAGCUCCUCCGGAAAGAUCAGCGUCAUGAUUGGACCGAGGAUUUCUAAAAGGCCUUUGAUUGUAUCAAAGAGUAUUUGUCUGAGCCUCCGAUUCUGUCUCCGCCUGUUGAAGGGAGACCGUUGGUUAUGUACUUGAUCGUGCUUGAUGAUUCCAUGGGAUGUGUAUUGGGUCAGCAAGAUGAAUCAGGGAAGAAGGAAUAUGCAAUAUACUACUUGAGUAAGAAGUUUACUGAUUGUGAGUCUCGAUACUCAACACUUGAGAAGACAUGUUGUGCUUUGGCUUGGGCAGUUAAGCGCUUACGCCAGUAUAUGUUGAAUCAUACGACUUGGUUGAUAUCUAAAAUGGAUCCAAUCAAGUAUAUCUUUGAGAAGCCUGCUUUAACUGGGAGGAUUGCCCGUUGGCAGAUGUUGUUAUCUGAGUAUUAUAUUGAGUAUCGAGCUCAAAAAGCUAUUAAAGGUAGUAUCUUGGCUGACCACUUGGCACAUCAACCAAUUGAAGAUUAUCAGUUUGUUCAGUACGACUUCCCUGAUGGGGAGAUUCUGUAUUUGAAAAUGAAAGAUUGUGAUGAGCCUACGCUCGAUGAAGGACCAGAGCCUGGUUCCGGAUGGGGUAUGGUGUUCGAUGGCGUUGUUAAUCAGUAUGGGAAUGGUAUUGGGGCAUUGAUUAUUACUCCUCAAGGCACACAUUUUCCUUUUACAGCAAGGCUAACUUUCAAAUGCACGAAUAAUAUGGCGGAGUAUGAGGCCUGUAUUAUGGGUUUGGAAGAGUGUACUGAUCUUAGGAUCAAACAUCUUGAUGUUUAUGGUGAUUCGGCCCUUGUUGUCAAUCAGAUUAAGGGUGAAUGGGAAACGAAUCAGCCUGGCCUCAUCCCAUACAGAGAUUAUGCGAGGAGGAUUUCAACUUUUUUACUGAGGUUGACUUCCAUCAUAUUCCUCGAGAUGAGAAUCGGAUGGCAGAUGCUCUUGCUACGCUUGCUUCAAUGAUGGUUGUCAAGUAUUGGAAUGAAGUCCCCAAUAUUACUGUGAUGCGCUUGGAUAGACCAACUCAUGUGUUUGCAGUUGAAGAAGUGAAAGAUGAUAAGCCAUGGUAUUAUGAUAUUAAGUGCUUUCUCCAAAGUCAGAUUUACCCUCCUAGGGCAUCCGUUAAAGAUAAGAAGACUUUGAGGAGAUUAUCUGGCAGUUUCUACCUUAAUGGUGAUGUGCUUUACAAGAGGAAUUUUGACAUGGUUUUGCUCAGAUGUGUGGAUAGACACGAAGCAGACCUGUUGAUGACUGAAGUCCAUGAGGGUUCAUUUGGUACUCAUUCCAAUGGACAUGCUAUGGCAAAGAAGAUGUUGAGAGUAGGCUACUAUUGGCUGACAAUGGAGUCUGACUGCUGCAAAUAUGUGAAGAAAUGCCACAAAUGUCAGAUUUAUGCGGAUAAGAUUCAUAUUCCACCGACACUUCUGAAUGUUAUUUCCUCACCAUGGCCUUUCUCCAUGUGGGGAAUUGACAUGAUUGGCAUGACUGAGCCAAAGGCGUCAAACGGUCACCGUUUUAUUCUCGUAGCCAUUGAUUACUUCACCAAGUGGGUUGAAGCGGCAUCAUAUGCGUAUGUGACUAGGCAGGUGGUUGUGAA
Molecule: long non-coding RNA, 17121 nt
Filed under: Lathyrus oleraceus (garden pea)
Lineage: Eukaryota; Viridiplantae; Streptophyta; Magnoliopsida; Fabales; Fabaceae
Description: Pisum sativum (pea) long non-coding RNA (PSAT_LNC029346)
Source: RNAcentral